This 204-nucleotide microRNA precursor is filed under the name Physcomitrium patens. Its description in RNAcentral is "Physcomitrella patens miR1068 stem-loop (ppt-MIR1068)". The record is from miRBase by way of RNAcentral. Lineage: Eukaryota; Viridiplantae; Streptophyta; Bryopsida; Funariales; Funariaceae.
CUUUUCAACACCUUGGCGCUGGCCUUCGUAGCCAUUUGCUUGAAGGUCAACUCAGACGGGUGGAAGAGGCAAUGUAUUGACGUCUUCCUCCAUUUUCCGACCAUUCUCUAGGCACCACAGAGGCAUCAAUGCUCUGCCUGUUUCUGCCGUGUGGGUUGGUCCUCAAGCAACGGGCUACGAGGACCAAUGUCAAUAAGCAUCAAC